GUGUCACUGUAGAGCCCCGUAAUGGCAUUUCUCCUUUCUCUUUUCUCCUGUUCAACCUUUCAUGGCCACCCUCACUCCCUCUCACAGGCUUCCUGUCCAUCAUUCUUACCCUCCAUCCUUGUCAUGCUUCUCAACCUACCUCUAUCUUUUUUCUCAUUCCCUUUCCCCCCUCUUUCCAUCUCUCUCUGUCCUUCUCUCCAUCUCUGGUCCAGGCAAGAAGACGGUGCGACUCUGAAAUUAACUCCCGACCCUGUGACGUACUCAUCUCCCAGAGUUUCAACACAGCACAGUGGAAAGAUUUGUGUGUGGGAGAUGUGUUGCGGAUCCGUAAAGACCAAGUCAUCCCUGCAGAUCUUCUCCUUCUGUGUAGUUCAGAACCUCACAGUCUGUGUUACGUGGAGACAGCUGAUAUUGAUGGAGAGACCAACCUCAAAUACGGCAGGCGCUCAGUGCUACACACAAUGAGUUGACCUCUCACCCCUCAGAGGAAACCCUUGGUGCCUUUGAUGGUGUUGUGCUCUGCGAGGAACCCAACAACCGCCUGUACAGCUUCAGAGGUCAGCUGCAGUGGAGAGGAGAGUGUCUUCUCCUGGACAACGAGCACAUCCUCCUGAGGGGAACAGUCCUACGCAACACAGACUUUGCCUACGGCUUAGCCAUAUAUACUGGUACUGGGAGAGGAAUGUAUUCAGUUUAGACACGUGGAUAUGAUCAUGGAUUAAUGAUUGCAGUUUUUAUUUAUAAGAUGGGUACUAGCUACUUUUAAACUCAUCUGUUAAGUCUAAAAAUGGCAUUGAUUAAAAGAGGUGAAAGAAAAGCUCUUAUCUAUGGUGCAGUGGCUUACAGAGGUUUAU
Acanthochromis polyacanthus (spiny chromis) is the source of this 854-nucleotide long non-coding RNA. RefSeq lists it as uncharacterized. NCBI's taxonomy places the organism in Eukaryota, Metazoa, Chordata, Actinopteri, Pomacentridae. The record is from RefSeq and is a predicted model, not a curated record. The transcript has 5 exons.